CAGCACGUUCCACACUUUGGCCCAUCCUCUGCCAGCCCAGCCCCUGCGGAGGUAUCCACGCCUCACCCGGGAAGAAGAAGAGCUCCGGGUCUCAAUCCUCAGUACUUCGGUUUUCAAUCCUCAGUACUUUUUUCUCCGACUCUUGCUAGUCCUGGGCCCUUGGCUGGCCUGGAGUGAGAAACCAAAACUCUUCCCCAAGUAGUGGCCUGGGGGUUCCUGCAGACCCGUUUCCCGGUUACUUCCAAGUGAAGACAAAGGCUGAACUGAAGACUAGGAGCUCUGGAAGCAGACAGACCAGCCAAAGCCCAGCUUUACCUCACUGCUGUGUGACUCUGAGCAGGAUUAUCAUCUUACCCAGGAGAGCAGCAUUUCCAAAUGGCAGGCCGCCAGCAGGUCCAGAGCCUCACCCCACAGUGUUCAUCCUCGGACAGACACAUUCCCUGCCAUAAAUGUUUCAGUAUCUAUUUCUAACAGAAAACACAACAAAGGCUCUGAACCACGCUGUCUCCUCACUCCUUAUGUCUUCUGACGAAACCUGGUGUUUCCCCACGUGGCCCAGCAUGGUGUGGCAUGCCCUGCUCUUGGAAAAUCGAGAUGGAGUACACAGGCCAAGUGAAGUUCCUUCCCUGACGCUACACCCUCCUAGAAGCCUCAAGACGCCUGCUGGCACCCCCGGUUUAGCAGCUCUUUUGUAGAAGUUGUUCCAUCUGGUACCACUUCAGAGGCGAAUGAAUGGACUGUUACCGCCAAAUAAAAAUUGUCAGUCGC
Bubalus bubalis (water buffalo) is the source of this 768-nucleotide long non-coding RNA. RefSeq lists it as uncharacterized. Lineage: Eukaryota; Metazoa; Chordata; Mammalia; Artiodactyla; Bovidae. The record is from RefSeq and is a predicted model, not a curated record. The transcript is spliced from 4 exons.